UGCCAGUCGACGCCCCCGGACUAUGGCGGGGGAGUGGCAUACUGCUCAGUAACACGUAGCUAACCUACCCUCGGGACGGGUAUAACCCCGGGAAACUGAGGCUAAUACCCGAUAGGCGUAGAUACCUGGAAUGGUUCCACGCCCAAAUGUUAGCGCGCCCAUGUUGCGCGCACACGCCCGAGGAUGGGGCUGCGGCCGAUCAGGCUGUUGGUGAGGUAAAGGCUCACCAAACCUUUGACCGGUACGGGCCGUGAGAGCGGUAGCCCGGAGAUGGGCACUGAGACAAGGGCCCAGGCCCUACGGGGCGCAGCAGGCGCGAAACCUCCACAAUGCACGCAAGUGCGAUGGGGCUACCUCGAGUGCCGCCUGAAGAAGGCGGCUUUUCCAUUGUAUAACUAGCUGUGGGAAUAAGAGGGGGGCAAGACUGGUGUCAGCCGCCGCGGUAACACCAGCCCCUCGAGUGAUGGGGAUGAUUAUUUGGCCUAAAGCGUCCGUAGCCGGCUAGGUAAAUCUCUCGUUAAAUCCAGCGUCUCAAGCGUUGGGCUGCGAGUGACACUGCCAAGCUAGAGGGUGGGCGAGGUCAGCGGUAUUUCUGGGGUAGGGGCGAAAUCCAUUGAUCCCAGGAGGACCACCAGUGGCGAAGGCUGCUGACCAGAACACGCCUGACGGUCAGGGACGAAAGCUGGGGUAGCGAAUCGGAUUAGAUACCCGAGUAGUCCCAGCCGUAAACGAUGCAGGCUAGGU
RNAcentral lists this ribosomal RNA (744 nucleotides) under uncultured archaeon. Its description in RNAcentral is "bacterial SSU rRNA". It matches the Rfam family "Archaeal small subunit ribosomal RNA", at positions 52 to 772 of the family's 1478-position model. The record is from RNAcentral.